UCGGCAGGGCGAACGGGUGAGUAACACGUUGGAACCUACCUCGAACUCAGGGAUAACUCCGCGAAAGCGGAGAUAAUACCGGAUGUCCCAGUAAUGGGAAAGCUUUUGCGGUUCGAGAGGGGCCUGCGGCCUAUCAGCUUGUUGGUGAGGUAAUGGCUUACCAAGGCUACGACGGGUAACUGGUGUGAGAGCAUGACCAGUCACAAUGGAACUGAGACACGGUCCAUACUCC
Molecule: ribosomal RNA, 232 nt
Filed under: uncultured bacterium
Lineage: Bacteria
Description: partial 16S ribosomal RNA
Rfam family: Bacterial small subunit ribosomal RNA
Source: RNAcentral